ACGACCUUACUUGAACAGGAUCUGUUCUAUUGGCUCGUACCUCUGUAUCCUUGAGUUCUAAGGAGACAGGAUUCCAAGUCUGGUUGAUGAACAGUGGCUGUGUGAUCAGAGCGUGAUUACUGGUCUUUGUGGUUCUAGAUGUUGAUCUCACCAGGACCGCAGAGGAUCGUUCUCAGCUGGCUUUGACUAGCUGGGAUGGUCACGCAGCUGUCUGACAGACU
This is a small nucleolar RNA of Hibiscus syriacus, 221 nucleotides long. RefSeq annotates it as small nucleolar RNA U3. NCBI's taxonomy places the organism in Eukaryota, Viridiplantae, Streptophyta, Magnoliopsida, Malvales, Malvaceae. The record is from RefSeq and is a predicted model, not a curated record. The transcript has a single exon.